GAAGAAGUUUGACAAGUAAAUUGAUUCAAAUGUGAUGAUUGGGUCAAAAGGCCUCGAUGAGGGUGUUGAUCUAUGAAUGUCUUACAUCAGUGCUCCCUAAAAGAACUAGAGGGCAGGGUUUGAUCAGCUGGGGCCAUUUGAACGCGAAGGGCAGCCAUAAAUUCAAAAACAACUUUCAUUGUAGCUUGGGAUAGACAAAUUUGGUAUAUACUUUUUUUAGGUCACAUGUGAAAUAAUGUCUCCAAACUCAGUUUUAUCAUAUUUGUAAAUGAGGGCUUGGCUUUGUAUAUGGCUGUCAUUUUGCAGGCUUGUAU
This is a long non-coding RNA of Quercus robur (English oak), 314 nucleotides long. RefSeq lists it as uncharacterized. NCBI's taxonomy places the organism in Eukaryota, Viridiplantae, Streptophyta, Magnoliopsida, Fagales, Fagaceae. The record is from RefSeq and is a predicted model, not a curated record. The transcript is spliced from 2 exons.